Phrynosoma platyrhinos (Desert horned lizard) is the source of this 70-nucleotide non-coding RNA. The record is from the annotation of a GenBank genome assembly. NCBI's taxonomy places the organism in Eukaryota, Metazoa, Chordata, Lepidosauria, Squamata, Phrynosomatidae.
GAGAGUGGUGUAGUGGUUUGAGCAAGGGACUGUGAUUCUGCAGACCAGGGUUCGAUUCCCUGCUUGGCCA